RNAcentral lists this ribosomal RNA (441 nucleotides) under uncultured bacterium. RNAcentral's name for it is "bacterial SSU rRNA". It matches the Rfam family "Bacterial small subunit ribosomal RNA", at positions 338 to 795 of the family's 1533-position model. The record is from RNAcentral.
CCUACGGGGGGCAGCAGUGAGGGAUUUUCGGCAAUGGGCGAAAGCCUGACCGAGCGACGCCGCGUGAGCGAAGAAGGCCUUCGGGUCGUAAAGCUCUGUCUAGGGGGACGAGAGAGGACGGUACCCCUGGAGGAAGCCACGGCUAACUACGUGCCAGCAGCCGCGGUAAUACGUAGGUGGCGAGCGUUGUCCGGAAUUACUGGGCGUAAAGGGCGCGCAGGCGGCGCGUUAAGUCCGGGGUGAAAUCCCACGGCUCAACUGUGGGGGGACCUUGGAUACUGGCGUGCUGGAGUGCGGGAGAGGGAAGCGGAAUUCCACGUGUAACGGUGAAAUGUAUAGAUAUGUGGAGGAACACCGGUGGCGAAGGCGGCUUCCUGGACCGUAACUGACGCUGAGGCGCGAAAGCUGGGGGAGCGAACAGGAUUAGAUACCCUAGUAGUC